This 1439-nucleotide long non-coding RNA is filed under the name Marmota monax (woodchuck). Lineage: Eukaryota; Metazoa; Chordata; Mammalia; Rodentia; Sciuridae. The record is from RNAcentral.
GAAAGAUAUUAAAUGACUUCACUGAAUUCUUUCCAACAUAAUAUACUACCCAGUGGGGUCACCACCUCUACUCCCCAUAGCCAGACAUGAGAUUCUAAGGCAUUCAUGUUAGUAAGGACUGUGAGCAUCCUGAACAUUCAGAGGCACUCUAAUAAGGCACAUACUUGUUCUUCAACAAUUUCCUAAUUUGGUGACCAUAUGUGCAUUACACUUCUGACAUCCUAAAGCUUAGACAACUGCACAGCCUGCUGAACAGACUGCAGAGAACUUAACUAGUAGCACUUCUACAAAGUAAACAAAGAGUCUUCUACCCCCAAGUGCAUGGGGCCAAGGGAGCCAGGCAAAGGAAUGGGGUGAUUUUAGAUAAGUAAGACUGAAAUCUCUUUGGCUUUCCUCCUCCCUUCUUCCUCUCUCUCUUUGGCUUAUUUUUCUAUUUCCAUGAUUCAUCUGGUUCUGAUAUCUACAAUUGAUUUGAUGUAACUAAUAUUCUAAAGGUGUCACCUUUCCAAGGCUAUCCAUAAUAUGAAAGGAGAUUCAUAAAGAGGAGGAGGUAAGGAAUAACUUGGCAAAUAAUUUCUGGAAGAUUGCCCAUCCCUGAUGGAAGCAAGUCUGACUUUCUUCUCCCUCUCCCCAAAAUAUUAGAGAAAGGGUAAGUUUCUCUUAUAAGCUUUUCCACUAUUCAAUUUGUCUCCUUUAAUCCUCAUUUUAAUCUUUGGCUUGCUUCUUCUCACAAAUUGUCCCUUGAGAAGCAAAUUAGAACAAGGAUAGGCCCUGUUCUAGAAAUAUGCUCAAAUUUGGGAAGACCUAGUUAGGAAUAGGUAGGAGCCUUGAUAUAUGCAAAUACCUGAUACACACGGGCAUAUAAGACCAUAUGUGUGUUCAAUGGUGAGUCUCUGUGUGGAGUAGAGGAAGGUAGGAGGAAGAGACCAGGGAGAAUGAUGAGUAAUGAUAGUUCUACAAUCGUUUGGAGACUAGAAUUAUUACAUUGCUCUUUCCUCAGGCUCCCCAUGAUUUGAGCAAUGACCUCAUAUUAGCUACACUGUCAUAAUGGCUUUUGGAUACUCAGAGUGCAGACACAGCUUCUCCUAGGAAUUUAUUACCUCUCUCAAAAAGCUAUCUGGGUGUCCAUGAAAGAUGCUGGCACUAGUAUUAAUUCUUUUUUAAAAAACUACCUUCUCCUUGAAGUAAACCAAAAUGGAUAAAAAUCAAUGAAUUCAUAGAAAAGAAAAUUCAUUAAGAUUGAGGGAAUAUUUAAAAUCUCAUAGCAUAAAGCUGUGAGAAAUAUAUGCCUAUUCACCAUCCCCAACAUGGAGAAAUUGCACAGUUGGAAAGAUAAUUAACACACUUGUAGUUCAUUGCCUGUAACAUAGGGUCAAUUGUGGCUGACAGGCCUAAGAUAGGAAAUAUAGCUAUGCCAACUCAUUUUUUUUUUCCUUUCU